AGAGUUUGAUCCUGGCUCAGAAUGAACGUUGGCGGCGUGGAUUAGGCAUGCAAGUCGAACGGGUUCGGUCUUCGGAUCGGAUCAGUGGCGCAAGGGUGAGUAAGGCGACGGUAACCAGCCCCAUGGUUGGGUAUAGCCGCGGGAAACUGCGGGUAAUCCCCAGCGACGUCCGAAUCGGGCAUCCGAUGCGGACCAAAGUUCCAACGCCGUGGGACGGGCCGUCGUGGUAUUAGGUCGUUGGCGGGGUAACGGCCCACCAAGCCUAUGAUGCCUACCGGGCGUGCGAGCGCGACCCGGCCCACUGGGACUGAGACACUGCCCAGACUCCUACGGGAGGCUCCAGUCGAGAAUCUUCGGCAAUGGGCGCAAGCCUGACCGAGCGACGCCGCGUGGAGGAUGAAGGCCUUCGGGUUGUAAA
Molecule: ribosomal RNA, 418 nt
Filed under: uncultured bacterium
Lineage: Bacteria
Description: bacterial SSU rRNA
Rfam family: Bacterial small subunit ribosomal RNA
Source: RNAcentral